Molecule: small nuclear RNA, 106 nt
Organism: Dipodomys ordii (Ord's kangaroo rat)
Lineage: Eukaryota; Metazoa; Chordata; Mammalia; Rodentia; Heteromyidae
Source: Ensembl
GUGCUCGCUUUCUGCAGCACAUACUAAAAUUGGAAUGAUACAGAGAAGAUUAGCAUGGCCCCUGCACAAGGAUGACACACAAAUUGGUGAAGCAUUCCAUAUUUUU